GGGUUGUGAGGUUAAGCGACUAAGCGUACACGGUGGAUGCCUAGGCAGUCAGAGGCGAUGAAGGACGUGCUAAUCUGCGAAAAGCGUCGGUAAGCUGAUAUGAAGCGAUAGAGCCGGCGAUGUCCGAAUGGGGAAACCCAGUGCAAUGCGUUGCACUAUCAUUAACUGAAUUCAUAGGUUAAUGAGGCGAACCGGGGGAACUGAAACAUCUCAGUACCCCGAGGAAAAGAAAUCAACCGAGAUUCCCCCAGUAGCGGCGAGCGAACGGGGAGGAGCCCAGAACCCGCAUCAGCGAUAGCAUCAGAGGAACGGUCUGGAAAGGCCGGCGAGAGAGGGUGACAGCCCCGUACUCGAAGAUGGUAUGGCUGUGAGUUCGAUGAGUAAGGCGGGACACGAGAAAUCCUGUCUGAAGGUGGGGGGACCAUCCUCCAAGGCUAAAUACUCCUGACUGACCGAUAGUGAACCAGUACCGUGAGGGAAAGGCGAAAAGAACCCCGGCGAGGGGAGUGAAAGAGAACCUGAAACCGUGUACGUACAAGCAGUGGGAGCCGUGAUUAAUCAGGGUGACUGCGUACCUUUUGUAUAAUGGGUCAGCGACUUAUAUUCUGUAGCAAGGUUAACCGGAUAGGGGAGCCGCAGGGAAACCGAGUCUUAACUGGGCGAAAGAGUUGCAGGGUAUAGACCCGAAACCCGGUGAGCUAGCCAUGGGCAGGUUGAAGGUUGGGUAACACUAACUGGAGGACCGAACCGACUAAUGUUGAA
Molecule: ribosomal RNA, 762 nt
Filed under: Photorhabdus luminescens
Lineage: Bacteria; Pseudomonadati; Pseudomonadota; Gammaproteobacteria; Enterobacterales; Morganellaceae
Description: bacterial LSU rRNA
Rfam family: Bacterial large subunit ribosomal RNA
Source: RNAcentral